RNAcentral lists this unclassified non-coding RNA (391 nucleotides) under soil metagenome. RNAcentral's name for it is "partial contains 5.8S ribosomal RNA, internal transcribed spacer 2, and large subunit ribosomal RNA". The stretch from base 1 to 122 matches the Rfam family "5.8S ribosomal RNA", at positions 35 to 154 of the family's 154-position model. The record is from RNAcentral.
GAUGAAGAACGCAGCGAAAUGCGAUACUUGGUGUGAAUUGCAGAAUCCCGUGAACCAUCGAGUCUUUGAACGCAAGUUGCGCCCGAAGCCAUUAGGCCGAGGGCACGCCUGCCUGGGCGUCACACGUCGUUGCCCCCCCAUCUACUCCUUCGGGAUUGCGGGGGGCGGAUGAUGGCCUCUCGUGCGCCUCGUCGCGCGGUUGGCCUAAAUGCCAAGUCCUCGGCGACGCACGCCACGACAAUCGGUGGUUGCGAAACCUCGGUUGCCUGUCGGGUGCGGUCGUCGCGCAUCGAGGGCUCGAAAAAAUUGCCGGGCUUCGGCUCGACUUUCAACGCGACCCCAGGUCAGGCGGGGUUACCCGCUGAAUUUAAGCAUAUCAAUAAGCGGAGGA